This 67-nucleotide transfer RNA is filed under the name Marmota monax (woodchuck). Its description in RNAcentral is "tRNA.Ala". Lineage: Eukaryota; Metazoa; Chordata; Mammalia; Rodentia; Sciuridae. The record is from RNAcentral.
GGAUCGUGGCUCAGUGGUAGAGCGCCCGCCUAGCAUGGGCGUGACCUGGGUUUGAUUCUCAGCACCA